CUUUACUGUAGCUUUGCAUUGGACUUUGACGGGACUUGUGUAGGAUAGGUGGGAGGCGCUGAGACCAGGACGCUAGUUCUGGUGGAGCCGUCCUUGAAAUACCACCCUGGUGUCGUUGAGGUUCUAACCUAGGUCCAUCAUCUGGAUCGGGGACCGUGCAUGGUAGGCAGUUUGACUGGGGCGGUCUCCUCCCAAAAGGUAACGGAGGAGUACGAAGGUCUUCUAGGUACGGUCGGACAUCGUACUGAUAGUGCAAUGGCAAAAGAAGGCUUGACUGCGAGACCGACAAGUCGAGCAGGUGCGAAAGCAGGUCAUAGUGAUCCGGUGGUUCUGUAUGGAAGGGCCAUCGCUCAACGGAUAAAAGGUA
This 367-nucleotide ribosomal RNA is filed under the name uncultured organism. RNAcentral's name for it is "bacterial LSU rRNA". It matches the Rfam family "Bacterial large subunit ribosomal RNA", at positions 2099 to 2465 of the family's 2925-position model. The record is from RNAcentral.